GGGAAUAGCUCAGUGGUAGAGCACAACCUUGCCAAGGUUGGGGUCGCGGGUUCGAACCCCGUUUCCC
Molecule: transfer RNA, 67 nt
Filed under: Helicobacter macacae
Lineage: Bacteria; Pseudomonadati; Campylobacterota; Epsilonproteobacteria; Campylobacterales; Helicobacteraceae
Rfam family: tRNA
About the family: Transfer RNA (tRNA) molecules are approximately 80 nucleotides in length. Their secondary structure includes four short double-helical elements and three loops (D, anti-codon, and T loops).
Source: RNAcentral